This 23-nucleotide microRNA is filed under the name Apis mellifera (honey bee). RNAcentral's name for it is "ame-miR-3728-5p". Lineage: Eukaryota; Metazoa; Arthropoda; Insecta; Hymenoptera; Apidae. The record is from miRBase by way of RNAcentral.
CCAUCCGUGGGAUUCGUAAUUUA